RNAcentral lists this ribosomal RNA (486 nucleotides) under uncultured bacterium. Its description in RNAcentral is "partial 16S ribosomal RNA". It matches the Rfam family "Bacterial small subunit ribosomal RNA", at positions 29 to 507 of the family's 1533-position model. The record is from RNAcentral.
AUUGAACGCUGGCGGCAUGCCUUACACAUGCAAGUCGAACGGCAGCACGGGUGCUUGCCCCUGGUGGCGAGUGGCGAACGGGUGAGUAAUACAUCGGAACAUGUCCUGUAGUGGGGGAUAGCCCGGCGAAAGCCGGAUUAAUACCGCAUACGAUCUACGGAUGAAAGCGGGGGACCUUCGGGCCUCGCGCUAUCGGGUUGGCCGAUGGCUGAUUAGCUAGUUGGUGGGGUAAAGGCCUACCAAGGCGACGAUCAGUAGCUGGUCUGAGAGGACGACCAGCGACACUGGGACUGAGACACGGCCCAGACUCCUACGGGAGGGAGCAGUGGGGAAUGUUGGACAAUGGGCGAAAGCCUGAUCCAGCAAUGCGGCGCGUGUGAAGAAGGCCUUCGGGUUGUAAAGCACUUUUGUCCGGAAAGAAAUCCUUGGCCCUAAUACGGUCGGGGGAUGACGGUACCGGAAGAAUAAGCACCGGCUAACUACGUG